This 253-nucleotide ribosomal RNA is filed under the name uncultured bacterium. Its description in RNAcentral is "partial 16S ribosomal RNA". It matches the Rfam family "Bacterial small subunit ribosomal RNA", at positions 524 to 776 of the family's 1533-position model. The record is from RNAcentral.
UACGUAGGGUGCAAGCGUUGUCCGGAAUUAUUGGGCGUAAAGAGCUUGUAGGCGGUUUGUCGCGUCUGCUGUGAAAUUUCGGGGCUCAACCCCGAACUUGCAGUGGGUACGGGCAGACUAGAGUGUGGUAGGGGAGACUGGAAUUCCUGGUGUAGCGGUGAAAUGCGCAGAUAUCAGGAGGAACACCGAUGGCGAAGGCAGGUCUCUGGGCCAUAACUGACACUCAGGGACGAAAGCUAGGGGAGCGAAUGGG